AGUCUUAACUGGGCGUUAAGUUGCAGGGUAUAGACCCGAAACCCGGUGAUCUAGCCAUGGGCAGGUUGAAGGUUGGGUAACACUAACUGGAGGACCGAACCGACUAAUGUUGAAAAAUUAGCGGAUGACUUGUGGCUGGGGGUGAAAGGCCAAUCAAACCGGGAGAUAGCUGGUUCUCCCCGAAAGCUAUUUAGGUAGCGCCUCGUGAAUUCAUCUCCGGGGGUAGAGCACUGUUUCGGCAAGGGGGUCAUCCCGACUUACCAACCCGAUGCAAACUGCGAAUACCGGAGAAUGUUAUCACGGGAGACACACGGCGGGUGCUAACGUCCGUCGUGAAGAGGGAAACAACCCAGACCGCCAGCUAAGGUCCCAAAGUCAUGGUUAAGUGGGAAACGAUGUGGGAAGGCCCAGACAGCCAGGAUGUUGGCUUAGAAGCAGCCAUCAUUUAAAGAAAGCGUAAUAGCUCACUGGUCGAGUCGGCCUGCGCGGAAGAUGUAACGGGGCUAAACCAUGCACCGAAGCUGCGGCAGCGACGCUGAUGCGUUGUUGGGUAGGGGAGCGUUCUGUAAGCCUGUGAAGGUGUGCUGUGAGGCAUGCUGGAGGUAUCAGAAGUGCGAAUGCUGACAUAAGUAACGAUAAAGCGGGUGAAAAGCCCGCUCGCCGGAAGACCAAGGGUUCCUGUCCAACGUUAAUCGGGGCAGGGUGAGUCGACCCCUAAGGCGAGGCCGAAAGGCGUAGUCGAUGGGAAACAGGUUAAUAUUCCUGUACUUGGUGUUACUGCGAAGGGGGGACGGAGAAGGCUAUGUUGGCCGGGCGACGGUUGUCCCGGUUUAAGCGUGUAGGCUGGUUUUCCAGGCAAAUCCGGAAAACUAAGGCUGAGGCGUGAUGACGAGGCACUACGGUGCUGAAGCAACAAAUGCCCUGCUUCCAGGAAAAGCCUCUAAGCAUCAGGUAACAUCAAAUCGUACCCCAAACCGACACAGGUGGUCAGGUAGAGAAUACCAAGGCGCUUGAGAGAACUCGGGUGAAGGAACUAGGCAAAAUGGUGCCGUAACUUCGGGAGAAGGCACGCUGAUAUGUAGGUGAAGUCCCUCGCGGAUGGAGCUGAAAUCAGUCGAAGAUACCAGCUGGCUGCAACUGUUUAUUAAAAACACAGCACUGUGCAAACACGAAAGUGGACGUAUACGGUGUGACGCCUGCCCGGUGCCGGAAGGUUAAUUGAUGGGGUCAGCGCAAGCGAAGCUCUUGAUCGAAGCCCCGGUAAACGGCGGCCGUAACUAUAACGGUCCUAAGGUAGCGAAAUUCCUUGUCGGGUAAGUUCCGACCUGCACGAAUGGCGUAAUGAUGGCCAGGCUGUCUCCACCCGAGACUCAGUGAAAUUGAACUCGCUGUGAAGAUGCAGUGUACCCGCGGCAAGACGGAAAGACCCCGUGAACCUUUACUAUAGCUUGACACUGAACAUUGAGCCUUGAUGUGUAGGAUAGGUGGGAGGCUUUGAAGUGUGGACGCCAGUCUGCAUGGAGCCGACCUUGAAAUACCACCCUUUAAUGUUUGAUGUUCUAACGUUGACCCGUAAUCCGGGUUGCGGACAGUGUCUGGUGGGUAGUUUGACUGGGGCGGUCUCCUCCUAAAGAGUAACGGAGGAGCACGAAGGUUGGCUAAUCCUGGUCGGACAUCAGGAGGUUAGUGCAAUGGCAUAAGCCAGCUUGACUGCGAGCGUGACGGCGCGAGCAGGUGCGAAAGCAGGUCAUAGUGAUCCGGUGGUUCUGAAUGGAAGGGCCAUCGCUCAACGGAUAAAAGGUACUCCGGGGAUAACAGGCUGAUACCGCCCAAGAGUUCAUAUCGACGGCGGUGUUUGGCACCUCGAUGUCGGCUCAUCACAUCCUGGGGCUGAAGUAGGUCCCAAGGGUAUGGCUGUUCGCCAUUUAAAGUGGUACGCGAGCUGGGUUUAGAACGUCGUGAGACAGUUCGGUCCCUAUCUGCCGUGGGCGCUGGAGAACUGAGGGGGGCUGCUCCUAGUACGAGAGGACCGGAGUGGACGCAUCACUGGUGUUCGGGUUGUCAUGCCAAUGGCACUGCCCGGUAGCUAAAUGCGGAAGAGAUAAGUGCUGAAAGCAUCUAAGCACGAAACUUGCCCCGAGAUGAGUUCUCCCUGACUCCUUGAGAGUCCUGAAGGAACGUUGAAGACGACGACGUUGAUAGGCCGGGUGUGUAAGCGCAGCGAUGCGUUGAGCUAACCGGUACUAAUGAACCGUGAGGCUUAACCUU
This 2268-nucleotide ribosomal RNA is filed under the name Escherichia coli 3-475-03_S3_C2. RNAcentral's name for it is "bacterial LSU rRNA". It matches the Rfam family "Bacterial large subunit ribosomal RNA", at positions 680 to 2925 of the family's 2925-position model. The record is from RNAcentral. Lineage: Bacteria; Pseudomonadati; Pseudomonadota; Gammaproteobacteria; Enterobacterales; Enterobacteriaceae.